Molecule: ribosomal RNA, 463 nt
Filed under: uncultured bacterium
Lineage: Bacteria
Description: partial 16S ribosomal RNA
Rfam family: Bacterial small subunit ribosomal RNA
Source: RNAcentral
GACGAACGCUGGCGGCGUGCUUAACACAUGCAAGUCGAACGGAAAGGCCUUUUCGGAGGUACUCGAGUGGCGAACGGGUGAGUAACACGUGGGUGAUCUGCCCUGCACUCUGGGAUAAGCCUGGGAAACUGGGUCUAAUACCGGAUAGGACCGCACUUUAGUGUGUGUGGUGGAAAGUUUUUUCGGUGUAGGAUGAGCCCGCGGCCUAUCAGCUUGUUGGUGGGGUAAUGGCCUACCAAGGCGGCGACGGGUAGCCGGACUGAGAGGUUGGUCGGCCACAUUGGGACUGAGAUACGGCCCAGACUCCUACGGGAGGCAGCAGUGGGGAAUAUUGCACAAUGGGCGCAAGCCUGAUGCAGCGACGCCGCGUGGGGGAUGACGGCCUUCGGGUUGUAAACUCCUUUCGCCAGGGACGAAGCGUUUUGUGACGGUACCUGGAGAAGAAGCACCGGUUAACUACGUG